Molecule: long non-coding RNA, 155 nt
Organism: Cydia amplana
Lineage: Eukaryota; Metazoa; Arthropoda; Insecta; Lepidoptera; Tortricidae
Exons: 2
Source: RefSeq, a predicted model, not a curated record
AUAUUUAUGUACUUAUACAGAACUUAAUUGGUUUAUUAGAAAACACAAUACCCCUAAUGAGGGCGCUACUGGACGGUCGACGCAGUCUUAAUAUGUGUAUAAAAGCGUUUCGGUUUCGGCCGAAACUAGAGCCAAAGCCGAACCUUCGGUUUCGG